AGUGAACGCUGGCGGCAGGCCUAACACAUGCAAGUCGAGCGGCAGCGGGUCCUUCGGGAUGCCGGCGCGCGGCGGACGGGUGAGUAAUGCGUCGGAAUCUGCCUUUUUGUGGGGGAUAACGUAGGUAAACUUACGCUAAUACCGCAUACGACCUACUGGUGAAAGUGGGGGACCGCAAGGCCUCACGCAGAAAGAUGAGCCGACGUCGGAUUAGCUAGUUGGCGGGGUAAAGGCCCACCAAGGCGACGAUCCGUAGCUGGUCUGAGAGGAUGAUCUGCCACACUGGAACUGAGACACGGUCCAGACUCCUACGGGAGGCAGCAGUGGGGAAUAUUGGACAAUGGGCGCAAGCCUGAUCCAGCCAUGCCGCGUGUGUGAAGAAGGCCUUCGGGUUGUAAAGCACUUUUGUCCGGAAAGAAAUACUGUCGGCUAAUACCCGGCGGGGAUGACGGUACCGGAAGAAUAAGCACCGGCUAACUUCGUG
This 484-nucleotide ribosomal RNA is filed under the name uncultured bacterium. RNAcentral describes it as "partial 16S ribosomal RNA". It matches the Rfam family "Bacterial small subunit ribosomal RNA", at positions 29 to 507 of the family's 1533-position model. The record is from RNAcentral.